This 5597-nucleotide long non-coding RNA is filed under the name Capsicum annuum. Its description in RNAcentral is "long non-coding RNA (CANN_LNC003426)". Lineage: Eukaryota; Viridiplantae; Streptophyta; Magnoliopsida; Solanales; Solanaceae. The record is from RNAcentral.
ACUGUUUCAUUAGAUAACUUUGAUCAUCUCAGUUACAUCAUUGUCUAUAAAUACUCAUUGUAAUCAUCAUUUACAACAUAUAUGAAAAUUGCAACUCUUCCUCCUAAAAUUCUAUUUUCUCUGUUUCUUCUCAUCUUCUAAUUUCUCUUGAUUGUAUCCUCAAAUCUCCAUUCCUGGACAAUCUUUCGAUCCUCGAAUCUUUGAGAUUCCUGAAAUCGAGUAACAUUGGUAUCAGAGCUAGUCUUCCUCGGCAUCAAUGGUGAAAGGUGUAAGAAUAACGGGUGAUUCAAUAACUGAAGCUGCUGCUGCAGAGAUGGGAGAUCUGCGUGAGAUGAUGCAAAAUUUGGUUACAGAGGUAGGUAAUUUGGCGGGAAAGGUCUCAUCAUUAGAGAGGUUGGAUAGUGUUGUUAUGGAGUUGAGGCAACAACUAGUAGGGGAAGGUCGGAGGAAUAAUGUUCCUUUAGGGCAUGAAGAAAAUCAUGACCAGGAGGGGGAAUUGGAAAUAGAGAAAGGAGCCCUAACUAUGGUACUACUUCUCAAUUUCCCAAUUCUUCUAAUUUUCAGCAUUCUCAUUUCAAUAGAUGGUCGAGAUGGAGUUUUUAAAGUUUUUUGGGGAUGAUCUUCGAUCUUGGUUAUUCAAGAUUGAGCAAUUCUUCUCUAUGGAGAAUAUUACACCUGAGGAUAAGGUAACCAUAGCAUCUAUGCAGUUGGAAGGGGAAGCUAUCUAGUGGCAUGUUUCUUUCAUGAGAUACAGACAGUAUGUGCAGGCUAUUAGUUGGAAGGAAUAUGUAGGAGCUUUGGUAGAGAGGUUUGGGAUUGACUUUGAUGAUCCCAUGGAGGAAAUUAAGAAGAUUAAGCAGACAGGAAGUGUAAGAGAAUAUCAAGCAGCUUUUGAAAGAAGUUUAACUAGGGUGAACUUAUCAGAGGAGAAUGCUAUCAGUUGCUAUAUUGGAGGCUUGAAAACUGAACUCAACAUUGUUGUCAAGAUCACAAAACCUUCCUCUCUUUCUCAGGCUUACAAGAGUGUAAGAAUGCAAGAGGCAUAUUUGUUUGCUAUGAGACAACAUUCCAGUAAUUCUUUUCAAGUCAAUGCAAGAAAGUUUGCAGAUCAAAAGUACUCUAAUAGUAAAGGCAUUCUACCUACUCCUAGUAGCAUUACUUCUGGAUUCUCUAAAGGGGUGAACAAGAGAACUCUAAGUAUUAAGGAGAUGAAUCAUAAGAGAGCAAGGGGUUUGUGUUAUUUUUGCAAUGACAAAUACAUGCCUAGUCGUAAAUGCAAUAAUUCAAAACAGUUGUACUUAUUGGAGGUGGAUGAAUCUGAAGAUUUAGAUGAGUCACAUAUUAAACAAGAUGGUGAAGUCCAAGAAGAACAAGGUGAUCAGUUGGAGUUGGGACAGCCUGUAGAACAUAUGGAAAUUUCUAUGCAUGCCUUGAAUAGUUCAUUGGGAUUUAGGACCCUGAAGGUGAUUGGUUAUCAUUCCAAAAUGGAGUUGCAUAUCCUAAUUAACACUGGAAGCUCACAUAAUUUCAUUGACCCUGACUUGGACAGUAAAUUAGGUUGUGAAGUGAAACCUAUUAAACCGGAAGUGGUGGUUGCUGCUAAUAGUAGCAUGCAAGUAGAUAAGAUGACAACCAUUACUUGGUUGCUGCAAGGAGCUAAAUUUUGUACUGAUUUUCUUUUACUUCCUCUUGGUUCUUGUGGAGUAGUGUUGGGAGUUCAGUGUUACUCACUUUGGGCGAUAUCAAACUGAAUUUCAGAAAAUUAACGAUGGAAUUUUAGUAUAAAGGGAAAAAAACAUUUACUCAGAGUUGCCGGCAAUCAAGUAUUGACUUCGGGUGCAGGGAAAUUAACAAAACACUCAGGCAACCAAUCUCAACUGUGUAUGAUUCAGGUGGUUCCACAAAGUAGGGAAGAAAGCAUGUGGCAUCCCUCAGAAGUUGACAAGAAUAAAGAAGAUGAUCCUGCAUUACUUAAGGUAUUAUCUGAAUUUUCUUCAUUGUUUGAAGAACCUAUAGGUCUACCACCUUCUAGAGGUAUAUAUGACCAUAGAAUCGUAUUACAACCUGGGAUUGAACCUACCAAUAAAAGACCUUAUAGAUACACCUCUGUUAAGAAGGACAUUAUUGAAGGCAUAGUGCAAUAAAUGAUGGAUCAAGGCAUCAUUCAACCUAGCUGCAGUCCUUUUGCAUCACUUGUGGUAUUAGUAGGCAAAAAAGAUGGCUCUUGGAGGUUAUGUGUUGAUUAUAGAGAUUUGAACAAAUUCACUGUCAAGAACAAGUUUCCAAUCCCUAUUGUUGAAGAUCUCUUGGAUGAACUAGGAGGUUCCAAGGUAUUCUCUAAAAUCAACUUAAGGUCUGGAUAUCACCAACUAAGAAUGGCAAAAGAUGAUGUACCUAAAACUGCUUUUAGAACCCAUUCUGGACACUUUGAAUAUUUGGUAAUGCCUUUUGUCUUAUCAAAUGCCCCUGCUACAUUCCAAGGACUAAUGAACUCUAUAUUUCAGAAGUUUUUAAGGAAACAUGUACUGGUUUUUUUCGAUGAUAUAUUGAUUUACAGUAGAAUUAUGGAGCAAAACAUUGUGCAUUUAAGGUCUGUGUUUUUUAAGAUGGUGGAACAUCAAAUUUUUGCUAAGAAGAGCAAAUAUUUCUUUGGUGUUAAAAGAAUUGAGUAUCUUGGUCAUUUUAUAACAGCUGAAGGUGUGUCUACUGAUCCACAAAAGGUUAAGGCUAUAAAGGAAUGGCCUACCCCAUCUACAUUGAAAUAAUUGAGAGAAUUUUUUGGGUUAGCUGGAUAUUACAGGAGGUUCAUACAAGGGUUCGGUAUCAUUUCCAAGCCUCUUAUUGACCUCACUAAGAAGGAUAAAUUCAAAUGGAAGGAUACAACACAUAAGUCCUUUAUGCAGUUGAAGGAAGCAUUAACUCAAUCUCCUAUGUUAGCUUUGCCAGAUGAGAGAAAAACAUUUAUUGUGGAGACUGAUGUCAGUGGAUAUGGUAUUGGUGUUGUACUUAUGUAGGAGGGGCAUCCUAUAGCCUUCAUUAGCAAGGAAUUAUCACCAAAACAUACAGCUUUAUCAGUAUAUGAUAGGGAGUUAUUAGCUAUUGUUCAAGCAGUUACUAAAUAGUCUCAGUACUUGUUAAGCCAAAAGUUUGUUAUCAGGACAGACCAAAAAGCUUUAAAGUUUCUCAUGGAACAAAAACUACACACCAAUUCAUAAUUACUAUGGCUGACUAAGUUGAUGCCUUUUGCCUAUUCCAUUGAGUACAAAAAAAGGGUUGAGAACAAAGUGGCCGAUGCACUCUCUAGAGUGACUGGUGCUAAAUUGCUUGCUUUAAUUAUCUCUCCUACAAAAACUGACCUUUUCAAUGAUAUUGUGGCUAGUUGGCAUACAGAUCCAGAGCUCACUCAACUAAUUGCUGACUUAGAGGCAAAUCCUACAUCACACAGACAGUUCACCUGGGAACAUGGUCAGUUGAGGAGGAAAGGAAAGCUAGUGAUUGGAAAGGUGCAGAACUUGAGGAAGGAUAUUAUGUCCCUAUGGCAUCCUGGUCCCUUGAGGGGCCAUUCAGGAGUAGAUUCUACCUUUAAAAAGUUGUUAACACUGUUCUAUUGGAAAACUUUGAGAUUUGAUGUAAAGGACUUCAUUCUGAAAUGUGAUGUUUGUCAGAAAAACAAAUCUUUUUUGGCGGCUUAUCCUGGUUUGUUACAACCUUUACCAAUUCCAGAGGUGGUGUGUUCUCAAAUUAGCAUGGAUUUUAUUGAUGGUCUUCCCAAAUCACAGGGUUUUGAAGUAAUACUGGUGGUGGUGGACAGAUUAAGUAAAUAUGGUCACUUCAUGCCACUCAAGCAUCCUUAUACUGCUCAAUCUGUUGCUAAGGUGUUUUUUGAUACUACUGUGAGACUACAUGGUCUACUAGAUGCCAUAACAAGUGAUAGAGAUGCAGUUUUUCUCAGCUCUUUCUGGCAAGAGCUUUUCAAUCUUCAAGGUGUGAUGUUGCAUACUUCUACUGCAUAUCAUCCCCAGUCUGAUGGUCAGACUGAGGUCUUAAAUAGAUGUCUUGAGACUUAUUUGAGAUGUUACUGCAAUGAUGAUCCUUCUGCUUGGGUUACUUGCUUACCUAUGGCCGAAUACUGGUAUAGCACAUGUUUCCACUCAGCUAUCCAGACUACACCUUAUGAGGUGCUUUACGGUAGACCUCAUCCUCUAUAUCUACCCUACUUGCCAGGUGAAUCGGCUUCUGCGGAGAUGGAUACUACACUAAUUAAUAGAGAGCUUAAGUUACAGCUCCUUAAGCACCAUUUGCUCCGAGCUCAACAUAGAAUGAAACAACAAGCUGAUGCUCAUAGGAGUGAUAUAAGUUUUAAUGUUGGUGAUUGGGUCUAUUUUAAAGUGCAACCUUACAGGCAAACCACUAUAUCUCACUAUUAUUCUCAUAAGUUGGCUGCCAAAUAUUAUGGGUCAUUUCAGAUCAUUAAAAGUGUUGGUCUUGUUGCUUAUACACUGUUGCUGCCAAGUUCUGUCAAGAUCCAUCCAAUUGUCAAUGUAUCCCUACUCAAAAAAUGCUAUGCAAUACCCUCUACUAUCUCUUGUCCUCCUACUGUGGACUUAGUCAAUCCCAAUUGUCCCACUCCUGAAGCUGUUUUGCAGAAAAGACUAGUCAAGAAAGGCAAUAAAGUGGUGGCACAAGUGUUUAGUGAAAUGGUCUGAUCUACCUGCCNNNNNNNNNNNNNNNNNNNNNNNNNNNNNNNNNNNNNNNNNNNNNNNNNNNNNNNNNNNNNNNNNNNNNCUUUUGUGGUGGGGGGGGGGGGGGGUGGGGAGUAUUGUUAUCAUAAAUUGGAGUUGAAGUUAGUUGAAGUUAGUGAAAGUCCAAAUCAGUUGGUUUUAAAAGUUAGUUAGAAACACUGCAGCUACAGUAGUCUGUUUCCAGAAGUUAGUUAGGAGUGACAAGUUGAAUCGGUUAUCAAACAAUUGUUUCAUUAGAUAGCUUUGAUCAUUUCAGUUACAUCAUUGUCUAUAAAUACUCAUUGUAAUCAUCAUUUACAGCAUAUAUGAAAAUUGCAACUCUUCCUCCUAAAAUUCUAUUUUCUCUGUUUCUUCUCACCUUCUAAUUUCUCUUGAUUGCAUCCUCGAAUCUUUGAGAUUCCUGAAAUCGAGUAACAAUCCCACAGAGAUAAAGACCCUAAAAAACAACAAAAACAAACCCGCAUAGAAUAAGAAGAUAAAUAUCAAAAUAAAUUCAAAUUUCAAGAAUAUGGGGAAACCUCUCUAACCCACUUUGGGGCGUUGUUAUCAAGACCCUCAGUGAACAUCUGCUACUCAAAUCGCUUGUAUAAUUAAGGAAAGAAAACAUAAACAUUAACAAGAAAAACACAAUGCAUCACCUUAACUAAACGCAAAACAAUAAAAUACCCAGAAUGUAAGAAAAUGUUGCAGUAGAAAUCGAGGAAGAACAGUAGUGUUAAACAAGAAAGUAAUGAAUACCUAGAAGAAGAAGCAAAGAUUUAUCACUCUGUUCAAACGGGGAGGAGUAGAAACUACAAGUGGUGAGGGAGGAGAGGUGUGAGGUUGGAGAAAAAACAAAUCGAAGUCGAACGUUGG